This 160-nucleotide small RNA is filed under the name bovine gut metagenome. RNAcentral describes it as "Clostridiales-1 RNA". It matches the Rfam family "Clostridiales-1 RNA". The record is from RNAcentral.
GAUUACAGUGUCAAAAGUCUUAUCGCCCGGAAUGCGUGCAUUCCGGCGCGGGAAAGACUUUAUGACACGCCCGCGCAUGAGCAUGAAGAGGUGCAAAGGCGCCUCGGAAAUGCGAAUGAGCGGAGGCUUGUGAGAGUGCGGAGCACGGAGCAAGCCGUAA